This 468-nucleotide ribosomal RNA is filed under the name uncultured bacterium. RNAcentral describes it as "partial 16S ribosomal RNA". It matches the Rfam family "Bacterial small subunit ribosomal RNA", at positions 28 to 507 of the family's 1533-position model. The record is from RNAcentral.
GACGAACGCUGGCGGCGUGCUUAACACAUGCAAGUCGAACGGAAAGGCCCUGCUUUUGUGGGGUGCUCGAGUGGCGAACGGGUGAGUAACACGUGAGUAACCUGCCCUUGACUUUGGGAUAACUUCAGGAAACUGGGGCUAAUACCGGAUAGGAGCUCCUGCUGCAUGGUGGGGGUUGGAAAGUUUCGGCGGUUGGGGAUGGACUCGCGGCUUAUCAGCUUGUUGGUGGGGUAGUGGCUUACCAAGGCUUUGACGGGUAGCCGGCCUGCGGGGGUGACCGGCCAGAUUGGGACUGAGAUACGGCCCAGACUCCUACGGGAGGCAGCAGUGGGGAAUAUUGCACAAUGGGCGGAAGCCUGAUGCAGCAACGCCGCGUGCGGGAUGACGGCCUUCGGGUUGUAAACCGCUUUCGCCUGUGACGAAGCGUGAGUGACGGUAAUGGGUAAAGAAGCACCGGCUAACUACGUG